RNAcentral lists this ribosomal RNA (425 nucleotides) under uncultured bacterium. RNAcentral describes it as "bacterial SSU rRNA". It matches the Rfam family "Bacterial small subunit ribosomal RNA", at positions 354 to 776 of the family's 1533-position model. The record is from RNAcentral.
GUGAGGAAUAUUGGUCAAUGGGCGUAAGCCUGAACCAGCCAAGUCGCGUGAGGGAUGAAGGAUCUAUGGUUCGUAAACCUCUUUUAUAAGGGAAUAAAGUGCGGGACGUGUCCUGUUUUGUAUGUACCUUAUGAAUAAGGAUCGGCUAACUCCGUGCCAGCAGCCGCGGUUAUACGGAGGAUCCGAGCGUUAUCCGGAUUUAUUGGGUUUAAAGGGUGCGUAGGCGGCCUUUUAAGUCAGUGGGGAAAGUCUGUGGCUCAACCAUAGAAUUGCCGUUAAAUCUGGGGGGCUUGAGUAUGUUUGAGGCGGGCGGAAUGCGUGGUGUAGCGGUGAAAUGCAUAGAUUUCACGCAGAACCCCGAUUGCGAAGGCAGCCUGCCAAGCCAUGACUGACGCUGAUGCACGAAAGCGUGGGGAUCGAACAGG